RNAcentral lists this small nucleolar RNA (50 nucleotides) under Pyrococcus furiosus DSM 3638. RNAcentral describes it as "PFUsR13". The record is from RNAcentral. Lineage: Archaea; Methanobacteriati; Methanobacteriota; Thermococci; Thermococcales; Thermococcaceae.
GUGAUGAAAAGGCGGAUUGCUGAGAGGAUGAUGAAGACCUUAGGGGCUGA